RNAcentral lists this transfer RNA (72 nucleotides) under Biomphalaria glabrata. It matches the Rfam family "tRNA". From Rfam's summary of the family: Transfer RNA (tRNA) molecules are approximately 80 nucleotides in length. Their secondary structure includes four short double-helical elements and three loops (D, anti-codon, and T loops). Further hydrogen bonds mediate the characteristic L-shaped molecular structure. tRNAs have two regions of fundamental functional importance: the anti-codon, which is responsible for specific mRNA codon recognition, and the 3' end, to which the tRNAs corresponding amino acid is attached (by aminoacyl-tRNA synthetases). tRNAs cope with the degeneracy of the genetic code in two manners: having more than one tRNA (with a specific anti-codon) for a particular amino acid; and 'wobble' base-pairing, i.e. permitting non-standard base-pairing at the 3rd anti-codon position. Lineage: Eukaryota; Metazoa; Mollusca; Gastropoda; Planorbidae. The record is from Rfam by way of RNAcentral.
GGCGCGGUGGCUGAGUGGUACAGCGUUUGGCUUCCGAACCAGUGGUCCCGGGUUCGAAUCCUGGUUAUGACU